UGUGAAUAUUAAAGAUUUUUUUAAACUUAUUUAUUGAAAUAGAGUAUAUGAUUCCGGGCAAAUGCAGGGUAUUCGACUAGUAGAUAAUGAAAUUAGGAAUUGAAAGUGAUGGCAUUGUUGUGCAUAGGAGUGGGACAUGGGGUUAGCUUGAAGUUUGAAUAAUGUACGACGUUCAACUACCACAAAUGAACACAUGCGAGUAAGGUCAUCAAUCCUCCAUGGCCCUUCAAAAACAGGGCAAA
Molecule: non-coding RNA, 242 nt
Organism: Arachis ipaensis
Lineage: Eukaryota; Viridiplantae; Streptophyta; Magnoliopsida; Fabales; Fabaceae
Source: RefSeq, a predicted model, not a curated record